GGCUUGUUAGGAAUACCAAAAAACGCCCCCUUUCACCUAUAUUCCACUUACCGAUUAGGAAAUUGCUGUUUGCAAACUGGCCUGGUACUGGAGGUCCCGGCCGGGGGUAGGGGGUGCAAGGAGAUGCCGAGAAAAAAGGGCCACCGCUCCAGGAAUGUUCUCAUACAAAUGAAAAGAAUGAAAGAAUGUAGAAGGAAGCUGAAUGUUACCUUCUGUUCCGCCUCCUAAUCCCUUGCUGGCAGUUAAAAAAAAAGGACACAACUGACUACAUGCCUCCAGAGAAAACUCCUGAUUCUCCUAAAAGAAAAUAAUUUUUCUAUAGAGGUAAAUGUGGAGAGUAUUCCAUCGCCAUGAUAAAAAGUCCAGAGAGGAAAAAAAUGUCUAGGACACUAGGGUAGUUGAAUCCCAUGGAUGCAAGAGCAGGUGUUGAAGGAGAUUGUUACCAUCACUGGCCACAG
This 458-nucleotide long non-coding RNA is filed under the name Canis lupus familiaris (dog). RNAcentral describes it as "lncRNA (ENSCAFG00030009955.1)". The record is from RNAcentral. Lineage: Eukaryota; Metazoa; Chordata; Mammalia; Carnivora; Canidae.